GUAGGUGGCAAGCGUUGUCCGGAAUUAUUGGGCGUAAAGCGCGCGCAGGUGGUUCUUUAAGUCUGAUGUGAAAGCCCCCGGGCUCAACCGGGGAGGGUCAUUGGAAACUGGGGAACUUGAGUGCAGGAGAGGAAAGUGGAAUUCCACGUGUAGCGGUGAAAUGCGUAGAUAUGUGGAGGAACACCAGUGGCGAAGGCGACUUUCUGGCCUGUAACUGACACUGAGGCGCGAAAGCGUGGGGAGCAAACAGGAUUAGAUACCCUGGUAGUCCACGCCGUAAACGAUGAGUGCUAAGUGUUGGGGGGUUUCCGCCCCUCAGUGCUGCAGCUAACGCAUUAAGCACUCCGCCUGGGGAGUACGGCCGCAAAGGCUG
This 373-nucleotide ribosomal RNA is filed under the name uncultured organism. Its description in RNAcentral is "partial 16S ribosomal RNA". It matches the Rfam family "Bacterial small subunit ribosomal RNA", at positions 527 to 896 of the family's 1533-position model. The record is from RNAcentral.